GACGAACGCUGGCGGCGCGCUUAACACAUGCAAGUCGAGCGAGGCACCCGGGCUUGCCCGGGUGUCGAGCGGCGAACGGGUGAGUAACACGUGAGGAACCUGCCCCGAAGACCGGGAUAACACCGGGAAACCGGUGCUAAUACCGGAUGUCCUCAUCAGAUCGCAUGGUCUGGUGAGGAAAUGGAUUCCGCUUCGGGAUGGUCUCGCGGCCUAUCAGCUUGUUGGUGGGGUAACGGCCACCAAGGCAACGACGGGUAGCUGGUCUGAGAGGAUGUCCAGCCACACUGGGACUGAGACACGGCCCAGACUCCUACGGGAGGCAGCAGUGGGGAAUCUUGCGCAAUGGGCGAAAGCCUGACGCAGCGACGCCGCGUGCGGGAU
Molecule: ribosomal RNA, 381 nt
Filed under: uncultured bacterium
Lineage: Bacteria
Description: bacterial SSU rRNA
Rfam family: Bacterial small subunit ribosomal RNA
Source: RNAcentral